Molecule: long non-coding RNA, 554 nt
Filed under: Salvia miltiorrhiza (redroot sage)
Lineage: Eukaryota; Viridiplantae; Streptophyta; Magnoliopsida; Lamiales; Lamiaceae
Description: long non-coding RNA (SMIL_LNC013446)
Source: RNAcentral
CGGAUUCUCGUUGCAUUCGGAUUUUUAGUUCAGGAUCAUCCGGCUGAAUCCAUAAUAGCUUCCGUACCUCCGCCACUUGGGCAGUGGAGAUAGUGGAACGAGGAAAAUGACAACCUUGGCACGUCAUAUCAUCCGCUUCAUUUAUUUGUUGUUGCCGGGCACCCACGGUGGCCAUGGCAAAUACACGAAAAAAAAAAACCCCCCAACAAAAACAAACAAACACAACAACACAACCGAAAGAAGCGAACAAGUUGGCGGGGAUAAUGGAGGAAGGGAGGACCUAACCUGGUAAGAAGAGUAAUGGUCGUAUGGGGAGCUUAACGAGAAAUCGAAGACGGCGGGAGAUCGGAGAAACCAGAGAAGACCGAAAGAAAAACUCUGAGGAGGGAGGAAGAAGAAGAAGAAAAUGAAGAGGCAGAGAUAUUUAUAGGGGAGGAAUUUGAAUCGAAGGAAAGGGGGGAGAAUAAUUAUUAGGGUUGGGAAAUGUGAAAGGAAAAUGGAAGGUCGGGAUUUCACCCCAAAACGGCGGAUAAAGAUGGAGGACCGAGAUCUCA